RNAcentral lists this ribosomal RNA (971 nucleotides) under Manduria halconensis. RNAcentral's name for it is "SSU rRNA". It matches the Rfam family "Eukaryotic small subunit ribosomal RNA", at positions 417 to 1330 of the family's 1831-position model. The record is from RNAcentral. Lineage: Eukaryota; Metazoa; Arthropoda; Insecta; Phasmatodea; Lonchodidae.
CAAGAAGCAGCAGGCGCGCAAAUUACCCACUCCCGGCACGGGGAGGUAGUGACGAAAAAUAACGAUACGGGACUCAUCCGAGGCCCCGUAAUCGGAAUGAGUACACUUUAAACCCUUUAACGAGUAUCCAUUGGAGGGCAAGUCUGGUGCCAGCAGCCGCGGUAAUUCCAGCUCCAAUAGCGUAUAUUAAAGUUGUUGCGGUUAAAAAGCUCGUAGUUGGACUUGUGUCCCACGCUGUCGGUUCACCGUUCGUCGGUGUUAACUGGCAUGCCCGUGUGGACGUCCUGCCGGUGGAUGCGGUCGGCCGUGGGCCUCUGGUCUGCGCGUCGGCGGUCCGAUGCAAUCCUACCGCGGUGCUCUUCACCGAGUGUCGAGGUGGGCCGGCACGUUUACUUUGAACAAAUUAGAGUGCUCAAAGCAGGCAGUGGUUCGCCUGAAUAUUGUGUGCAUGGAAUAAUGGAAUAGGACCUCGGUUCUAUUUUGUUGGUUUUCGGAACUUGAGGUAAUGAUUAAUAGGGACAAAUGGGGGCAUUCGUAUUGCGACGUUAGAGGUGAAAUUCUUGGAUCGUCGCAAGACGAACCUAAGCGAAAGCAUUUGCCAUAAGUGUUUUCAUUAAUCAAGAACGAAAGUUAGAGGUUCGAAGGCGAUCAGAUACCGCCCUAGUUCUAACCAUAAACGAUGCCAGCUAGCGAUCCGCCGAAGUUCCUCCGAUGACUCGGCGGGCAGCUUCCGGGAAACCAAAGCUUUUGGGUUCCGGGGGAAGUAUGGUUGCAAAGCUGAAACUUAAAGGAAUUGACGGAAGGGCACCACCAGGAGUGGAGCCUGCGGCUUAAUUUGACUCAACACGGGAAACCUCACCAGGCCCGGACACCGGAAGGAUUGACAGAUUGAGAGCUCUUUCUUGAUUCGGUGGAUGGUGGUGCAUGGCCGUUCUUAGUUGGUGGAGCGAUUUGUCUGGUUAAUUCCGAUA